GACGAACGCUGGCGGCGUGCUUAACACAUGCAAGUCGAACGCUGAAGCUUGGUGCUUGCACUGGGUGGAUGAGUGGCGAACGGGUGAGUAAUACGUGAUUAACCUGCCCUUGACUCUGGGAUAAGCCUGGGAAACUGGGUCUAAUACUGGAUACGACAUGCCACUGCAUGGUGGUGUGUGGAAAGGGUUUUACUGGUUUUGGAUGGGCUCACGGCCUAUCAGCUUGUUGGUGGGGUAAUGGCCUACCAAGGCGACGACGGGUAGCCGGCCUGAGAGGGUGACCGGCCAAACUGGGACUGAGACACGGCCCAGACUCCUACGGGAGGCAGCAGUGGGGAAGAUUGCACAAUGGGCGGAAGCCUGAUGCAGCGACGCCGCGUGAGGGAUGACGGCCUUCGGGUUGUAAACCUCUUUCAGCACGGAAGAAGCGAGAGUGACGGUACGUGCAGAAGAAGCGCCGGCUAACUACGUG
Molecule: ribosomal RNA, 472 nt
Filed under: uncultured bacterium
Lineage: Bacteria
Description: partial 16S ribosomal RNA
Rfam family: Bacterial small subunit ribosomal RNA
Source: RNAcentral